Molecule: ribosomal RNA, 240 nt
Filed under: uncultured bacterium
Lineage: Bacteria
Description: partial 16S ribosomal RNA
Rfam family: Bacterial small subunit ribosomal RNA
Source: RNAcentral
CGACCGGCGCACGGGUGAGUAACACGUAUCCAACCUGCCUCACUCUUGGACAGCCUUCUGAAAGGGAGAUUAAUACAAGAUGUUAUCAUGAGUAAGCAUUUUCACAUGAUUAAAGGUUUACCGGUGUAAGAUGGGGAUGCGUUCCAUUAGAUAGUAGGCGGGGUAACGGCCCACCUAGUCUUCGAUGGAUAGGGGUUCUGAGAGGAAGGUCCCCCACAUUGGAACUGAGACACGGUCCAA